GCUUUGGUAACUCAGCAAGUUUGCAGUCUGUUUCAUGCAUCUCUUUCUCUACUGUGCCAUUAUCCUCUUCAACUGAUUCUGAUUGGUUCACAUUCUCUUUGAGUUCAUCCAAAGUUUCAGCAACUUCUAUUCUAUCCCCGUCCUCUUCAUGUGCAGGUACCUCCAGAGUUUCUUCUACAUCCUUGUCAUAUUCUGCAUGUCCAGUGGGCCCCUGUUUUUCGUUUAGGUCCUCACCGUCACCCUCCUCACAUAGGCUAUUAGUUGCCUCAAAAUUGCAGUCUAUUUCAUGCAUCUCUUUCUCUACUGUGCCAUUAUCCUUUUCAACUGAUUCUGACUGGUUCACAUUCUCUUUGAGUUCAUCCAAAGUUUCAGCAACUUCUAUUCUAUCCCCGUUCUCUUCAUGUGCAGGUACCUCUAGAGUUUCUUCUACAUCCUUGUCAUACUCCGCAUGUCCAGUGGACGCCUCUUUUUCGUUUAGGUCCUCACUGUCACCCUCCUCACAUAGGUUAUUAGUUGCCUCAAAAUUGCAGUCUGUUUCAUGCAUCUCUUUCUCUACCCUGCCAUUAUCCUCUUCAACUGAUUCUGACUGGUCCACAUUCUCUUUGAGUUCAUCCAAAGUUUCAGCAACUUCUAUUCUAUCCCCGUCCUCUUCAUGUGCAGGUACCUCCAGAGUUUCUUCUACAUCCUUGGCAUACUCUGCAUGUCCAGUGGACCGCUCUUUUUCACUUAGGUCCUCACUGUCACCCUCCUCACAUAGGUUAUUAGUUGCCUUAAAAUUGCAGUCUGUUUCAUGCAUCUCUUUCUCUACUGUGCCAUUAUCCUCUUCAACUGAUUCUGAAUGGUCCACAUUCUCUUUGAGUUCAUCCAAAGUUUCGGCAACUUCUAUUCUAUUCCCGUCCUCUUCAUGUGCAGGUACCUCCAGAGUUUCUUCUACAUCCUUGGCAUACUCUGCAUGACCAGUGGGCCCCUCUUUUUCAUUUAGGUCCUCACUGUCACCCUCUUCACAUAGGUUAUUAGUUGCCUCAAAAUUGCAGUCUGGGUUCUUUAGAUCCUCUCGAGCAUCUGUCACCUUCUCAUCCUCUGUACUCUGAUCAAUCAGUACUUCCGUU
RNAcentral lists this long non-coding RNA (1109 nucleotides) under Malus domestica (apple). Its description in RNAcentral is "long non-coding RNA (MDOM_LNC007233)". The record is from RNAcentral. Lineage: Eukaryota; Viridiplantae; Streptophyta; Magnoliopsida; Rosales; Rosaceae.